GAUUAGUGCUGUGCUAUCAGAGGGUCGGGCAGCAAGCAGAUAACCCAUCUAAUAGUGUACACUUUCCACGUUAAACCUGCCUGGGAGGAACCAGUGCUGUUUGGUCUCUGCAAACUGCUGACGUUCCGGCUCUGUGACCAGUUUUGUCAGUGGACUUGAAUGAGGCUGCAAAGGCAUCACACUAUUCACCACUGACAGAGAGGAGAUAACAGGCGUUGUGGAUGUGCAGUCUGACAUGCCAUGGCAGUGCUGUGUUUCAUUGUGGAGUGUUGAGAUGUUACUGAACAUGGUCUUCUCUUCAAGUGAAGGCCUGAGGUGUCAAAUGGAGAGCCAGAAAGCCAUUCCUUCUUGGAAGUGUUGUUCCUUGUGAAGGAAAGCUAACUUCUCUAAGGCAUCGUUCCUGAUAGCAUGGAAGCACAAAGCUAGCUUCUCCUAGGCCUGACAUCUCAGGCAGUGCUUCAUGUCCAACCUUGUUGUGCCCGAGGAGGAGGUCUGAUGCUUUUCUGUUUCCUGGAAGCGGGAUGCCUCACCUUCACCCACUGGGAAGGUAAAACGGCAACUAUAGGGUUCUCUGCACAGGAAUGCUAUUUUGGGAUGAUGAAGAAUUAUUUGCAAGAGGAAUUUCUGAAGAAUUCUGUAUGAGGAGGGGCACUCAGAGAUCCCAGUGGAGAGGACUGUCUAGACAGCUUGGUGAGCAGAAGAGGGGAUGUAGGGCUGACUCUGACUCCUCUCCAAUCUUGGGCAAGUCACAGAGGGCUCUGACACCCACUCUAAUAAAGAGCAAAUAGUGGUAGCAAGCUAAGACACUGCAGUUAGAAGCCCUUUGCUGCAGGGCUCCAUCCCUGCAGUGGUUGGAAGGAAGGACUGCAUCCCAGCUGUCCUCCACCUCCAUGUGGCGUCUCCUGUUAAUCCUGUGUCUGUCCCCUCUCAAUGCAUGGGCAGUAAUGGGUAUAUCCAAGCUCAGAGGUGUGGGAGGAGGCUGGAAGAAUAGGGCUGGGCUAGGUGGAUGUUUUUAUGAAGUGUUACAGCAGAUGAUUUUGGGGCAUUGCCAAACAUAUGGGACUGGAGCUUCAUGCUGAGAAAGUUUGCGUUCUAAUUCUUGUCUAUUUUGGCAGUGCUGUAAUGGUUCAUAGUAAUAAAAACCCUGGGAACAGGAAGGGACAAGAUGCUUAGCCGAUUUAAGAGAGACCUUUGCCAUUAGCAGAACAUACAUGCUUUCAGGUGAGCUUGUCACAUCAGGCCUAAAUGAAUUUGUGAUUCAUGGACUUGCUAGGCUCUCUCUGCCUUUGUCAGGCAGAUCUUUUGGACAAUAUGAUGACACCAGAGAUUUUGCAUAAAGGAAUCUCUUCCCACUUCCUGUUCUCUGAAAGGCAGCUAAUUUCAGGACAGAACCUGGCAGCUGAUUGUAGGAAAAGAAGUGAUCAUCAGUACCAGCAAUUAAAAUUGAAGUGGAAAAUGAAUGAGACGCUUGGACUAGCAUCUGGAGUUCCUUUAGAAAGCAAUUGCAAUCUGACACAAGUUAUAACAGUAUUGUUAAGCUUGCUAGUGUUGGUUGAUGGAUACCCCUGCCCUGCAAUUUUUGUUUAGAUAACAGAAAGAGCUGUGUCUCUGAAAUCCAAGGAGAUAAGGAAAGUCUGCCAAGUCUUUGUACCAAGGAAAUAGGAGAUUCUGCUUGGAAUUGGUUAGUGAAUAUGUAACAUACUUCUGGGAAACUUCUGCAUGUGUACCAUACCUCUUGGAAAACUUCUGCAUAUGUUACGUGAGAUAACUCAAGAUCUUUUGUGAAGGCAUGAUAGGAGGAUUACCCCCAUGUAUCCAGCACUGAUAUUAAACACUGUCUGCUUUCUAACACU
Molecule: long non-coding RNA, 1853 nt
Organism: Gallus gallus (chicken)
Lineage: Eukaryota; Metazoa; Chordata; Aves; Galliformes; Phasianidae
Source: Ensembl